This 616-nucleotide unclassified non-coding RNA is filed under the name Dendronephthya gigantea. Its description in RNAcentral is "protein cornichon homolog 1-like, transcript variant X2". The record is from RNAcentral. Lineage: Eukaryota; Metazoa; Cnidaria; Anthozoa; Malacalcyonacea; Nephtheidae.
GGCGUGUUGCAAUUUUUGAAUUCAAAAUACUAGUUGGAUACAAUGGCUGCUUUCGAGGUGUCAACUUUUAUUUUAGCCGUCCUUAUAAGUGUUGCUUUGAUAUUCUUCGCUGUGUGGAAUAUUAUUUCAUUUGAUGAUUUGAAAACGGAUUAUAAAAAUCCUGUCGACCUUUGCAACAGUUUAAAUCCUUUAGUACUGCCAGAAUAUGGCCUCCACUUAUUUAUAUGUCUGUUCUUCCUUGUUGGAUUUUUUUGGACAUCAUUGAUUUGGAACAUGCCACUAAUUGCAUAUCAUGUUCACAGAUAUAUGAACCGACCAGUUAUGAGCAGACCUGGUUUAUAUGAUCCUACUAUCAUUAUGAAUGGCAGUGAAAUGUCUCGUUGUCAAAAAGAAGGAUGGGUCAAACUUGCUUACUAUCUUCUUAGCUUUUUCUUUUAUCUGUAUAGGAUGAUGAGUGCGAUUCUCGCGUAGCCAAUGUUUUGUUGAACUCUUUUUUUGUGCAAAGGCAAAGAAUGACAAAGACAGAUUUCCAAGAGUUUUGUACAUUUCAUCGAUCGAACUACAGUCAUUUAAAGCACUUUAAACUGAAAAUAAGAGCAUAUUUGGUCGCUUUUUG